Molecule: unclassified non-coding RNA, 295 nt
Filed under: Hevea brasiliensis (rubber tree)
Lineage: Eukaryota; Viridiplantae; Streptophyta; Magnoliopsida; Malpighiales; Euphorbiaceae
Source: RNAcentral
GACUGCACUCCACUAUGGAGACGUCCGUGUCGUCGUUUCUGAAACAGGCUGGCCGUCUAAGGGUGACGUUAAUGAGACCGGAGCAGGGGCCGAGAAUGCCGCUGCCUAUAACGGUAAUCUGGUUCGCAGAUUGCUGUCGGGCAACGGCGGCACACCGCUGCGGCCAACCGCGGACAUUGAUGUUUACUUGUUUGCUUUGUUUAAUGAGAACCAGAAGCCAGGGCCGUUGUCCGAGAGAAACUAUGGUUUGUUUUAUCCGACUGAAGAGAAGGUGUAUGACAUUGGUUUUACUUUG